RNAcentral lists this ribosomal RNA (200 nucleotides) under Staphylococcus hominis. Its description in RNAcentral is "partial 16S ribosomal RNA". It matches the Rfam family "Bacterial small subunit ribosomal RNA", at positions 449 to 641 of the family's 1533-position model. Lineage: Bacteria; Bacillati; Bacillota; Bacilli; Caryophanales; Staphylococcaceae. The record is from RNAcentral.
ACAAACGUGUAAGUAACUGUGCACGUCUUGACGGUACCUAAUCAGAAAGCCACGGCUAACUACGUGCCAGCAGCCGCGGUAAUACGUAGGUGGCAAGCGUUAUCCGGAAUUAUUGGGCGUAAAGCGCGCGUAGGCGGUUUUUUAAGUCUGAUGUGAAAGCCCACGGCUCAACCGUGGAGGGUCAUUGGAAACUGGAAAAC